AGUAACCACGCCCAGCAAGUCCCUGCGAGAUUGUCCGUUUACGUGUCUCAGCGGAGGCACAUUUCUAAAAUGUACCAGGUCUCUCGCAGCCCGACGCAGGUGCUUCAACAGCUCUCAGCGCUCGGUGGUUGGUGAACUGUGGUAAAGUGCACGCAGAAUAAGGUCUACGGGAUUAAGCACCGCCUGGGGGUUGGGGUCUGGAGGCCCAGCUGCACAGAUGAAAGGGAGGCUCGGAGACGUUUGGGACCAACCGAGAUCACACAGCUGAUUAGGAAUAAAAUUCAGGUCAAGCUGAAAGUCGGCCGCCACCGUCCAGCGUGGAUCCCAGGACACCGUGAACGGACUUCAGAAGUUGACUUUCGCGUUUUUCAGGAGUGGGGUGCAGGGAAACAGUCCUCUGCCGGCCCUGCGGGCUGAUGCCGACCCUCACCUGCUCCUGCCACCUGGAGAGGUAGAGAGAAGCCCCGGGCCAAUCAGCAUUGAGCCCUGGUCCCUUCUAUUUAAAUAUGAAAUAUUUUGCAUACACUUUUCUAGAUGUACUUAAUAUACACAAUGUUUUAAUAUUUGUGGUUUUUUUGUUUUGCCAAAAAAAUACAAUCAAUCAGAAAUUCA
RNAcentral lists this non-coding RNA (612 nucleotides) under Pongo abelii (Sumatran orangutan). The record is from RNAcentral. Lineage: Eukaryota; Metazoa; Chordata; Mammalia; Primates; Hominidae.